Molecule: ribosomal RNA, 880 nt
Filed under: uncultured bacterium
Lineage: Bacteria
Description: bacterial SSU rRNA
Rfam family: Bacterial small subunit ribosomal RNA
Source: RNAcentral
GACGAACGCUGGCGGCGUGCCUAAUACAUGCAAGUCGAGCGGACAGAUGGGAGCUUGCUCCCUGAUGUUAGCGGCGAACGGGUGAGUAACACGUGGGUAACCUGCCUGUAAGACUGGGAUAACUCCGGUAAACCGGGGCUAAUACCGGAUGCUUGUUUGAACCGCAUGGUUCAAACAUAAAAAGUGGCUUCGGCUACCACUUACAGAUGGACCCGCGGCGCAUUAGCUAGUUGGUGAGGUAACGGCUCACCAAGGCGACGAUGCGUAGCCGACCUGAGAGGGUGAUCGGCCACACUGGUACUGAGACACGGCCCAGACUCCUACGGGAGGCAGCAGUAGGGAAUCUUCCGCAAUGGACGAAAGUCUGACGGAGCGACGCCGCGUGAGUGAUGAAGGUUUUCGGAUCGUAAAGCUCUGUUGUUAGCGAAGAACAAGUGCCGUUCAAAUAGGGCGGCACCUUGACGGUACCUAACCAGAAAGCCACGGCUAACUACGUGCCAGCAGCCGCGGUAAUACGUAGGUGGCAAGCGUUGUCCGGAAUUAUUGGGCGUAAAGUGCUCGCAGGCGGUUUCUUAAGUCUGAUGUGACAGCCCCCGGCUCAACCGGAGAGGGUCAUUGGAAACUGGGGAACUUGAGUGCAGAAGAGGAGAGUGGAAUUCCACGUGUAGCGGUGAUAUGCGUAGAGAUGUGGAGGAACACCAGUGGCGAAGGCGACUCUCUGGUCUGUAACUGACGCUGAGGAGCGAUAGCGUGGGGAGCGAACAGGGUUAGAUACCCUGGUAGUCCACGCCGUAAACGAUGAGUGCUAAGUGUUAGGGUGUUUCCGCGCCUUAGUGCUGCAGCUAACGCAUUAAGCACUCCGCCUGAGGAGUACGGUCGC